UAACGCGUGAGGAACCUGCCUUCCAGAGGGGGACAACAGUUGGAAACGACUGCUAAUACCGCAUGACGCAUUGGUGUCGCAUGGCACUGAUGUCAAAGAUUUAUCGCUGGAAGAUGGCCUCGCGUCUGAUUAGCUGGUUGGUGAGGUAACGGCCCACCAAGGCGACGAUCGGUAGCCGGACUGAGAGGUUGGCCGGCCACAUUGGGACUGAGACACGGACCAGACUCCUACGGAAGGCAGCAG
This 243-nucleotide ribosomal RNA is filed under the name uncultured bacterium. RNAcentral describes it as "partial 16S ribosomal RNA". It matches the Rfam family "Bacterial small subunit ribosomal RNA", at positions 111 to 354 of the family's 1533-position model. The record is from RNAcentral.